RNAcentral lists this ribosomal RNA (229 nucleotides) under uncultured bacterium. RNAcentral's name for it is "partial 16S ribosomal RNA". It matches the Rfam family "Bacterial small subunit ribosomal RNA", at positions 568 to 796 of the family's 1533-position model. The record is from RNAcentral.
UGCGCAGGCGGGCAUCUAAGUCAGUGGUGAAAUACUGCCGCUUAACGGUAGAACUGCCAUUGAUACUGAAUGUCUUGAGUAUGGUUGAGGUAGGCGGAAUGUGUAGUGUAGCGGUGAAAUGCAUAGAUAUUACACAGAACUCCGAUUGCGAAGGCAGCUUACUAAGCCAUAACUGACGCUGAGGCACGAAAGCGUGGGGAGCGAACAGGAUUAGAUACCCUGGUAGUCC